This 435-nucleotide ribosomal RNA is filed under the name uncultured bacterium. RNAcentral's name for it is "bacterial SSU rRNA". It matches the Rfam family "Bacterial small subunit ribosomal RNA", at positions 30 to 480 of the family's 1533-position model. The record is from RNAcentral.
UGAACGCUGGCGGUAUGCUUUACACAUGCAAGUCGUACGGGAGUUUUUAACUCAAGUGGCGGACGGGUGAGUAACACGUAAGAAUUUACCUUUAGGAGGGGGAUAACAACUGGAAACGGUUGCUAAUACCCCAUAUGCUUUCGAGUGAAAUGGAUUUUUCCGCCUAGAGAGAAGCUUGCGGCUGAUUAGCUUGUUGGUGAGGUAAUGGCUCACCAAGGCGACGAUCAGUAUCUGGUUUGAGAGGAUGAUCAGACACACUGGAACUGAGACACGGUCCAGACUCCUACGGGAGGCAGCAGUGGGGAAUUUUCCGCAAUGGGCGAAAGCCUGACGGAGCAAUACCGCGUGAGGGAUGACGGCCUAUGGGUUGUAAAGCGCUUUUAUCAGGGAAGAAGGCAUACAUGCGUUAACAGCGUAGUAUGUUUGACGGUACCU